This 401-nucleotide ribosomal RNA is filed under the name uncultured bacterium. RNAcentral describes it as "partial 16S ribosomal RNA". It matches the Rfam family "Bacterial small subunit ribosomal RNA", at positions 28 to 526 of the family's 1533-position model. The record is from RNAcentral.
GACGAACGCUGGCGGCGUGCCUAAUACAUGCAAGUCGAACGCAGUGGGGACGGGUGAGUAACACGUGGGUAACCUCCCAUCAGAGGGGAUAACACUUGGAAACAGGUGCUAAACCGCACAUCGGAUUGGCCCAGCUGGGAUUAGCUAGUAGGUGGGGUAACGGCUCACCUAGGCGACGAUCCCUAGCUGGUAGUAGAGGAUGACCAGCCACACUGGAACUGAGACACGGUCCAGACUCCUACGGUAGGCAGCAGUAGGGAAUCUUCGGCAAUGGACGAAAUUCUGACCGAGCAACGCCGCGUGAGUGAAGAAGGUUUUCGGAUCGUAAAACUCUGUUGUUAGAGAAGCGGUAUCUAACCAGAACGCCACGGCUAACUACGUGCCAGCAGCCGCGGUAAUUC